Long non-coding RNA from Fukomys damarensis (Damara mole-rat), 1596 nucleotides. RefSeq lists it as uncharacterized. The record is from RefSeq and is a predicted model, not a curated record. The transcript has 3 exons. NCBI's taxonomy places the organism in Eukaryota, Metazoa, Chordata, Mammalia, Rodentia, Bathyergidae.
CAAUGAUGAGUGUAACUGUACUGUGUACCUAAAAUGUACCAAUAAACUUAGUGUGGGGGGAACAGUCCCAGGGAUACAGUCUUUUAGUUCCUACCACCUCCCAGCAACACUAUGCUGGGAUUCAAUUGAUGAGUGGUAGUCCCGUGACAGGUCCAGGUGAAUUACUCCCCACCCCCACUUUGAGGCUGCCAGCCAAGAAAAUGGGGUGCAAGGACAGUAUGAGCUUCUUCUGGCCCAGAAAUGGAUUGGGCAGCAGGCCGGGGAAGGUGAUGUCUCUGUCGUUCUAAGGUUCUUGUUUCCAUGACAGCAUUGUUUAUCUGUUUGGGGUCAUUAAAAAUGUAUGGAAAUAAUCAGAUAUGUUGGAUCACUGCUGAAAUCCCAGCUAUCUGGGAGACUGAGGCAAAUUCAAGGCCAGCAAGCAGGAGUCCCUGGUUUUAAUCCGUAGCAUCAUGAAAACAAACCAAUACAAAACAAUAGAUUCAAAUAGAUUCAAUAGAUUCAAAUUUAACUCCACCAGACCUACAUGGGAGAGGAAAUAGCUGAGUGUGCCUGAGAGGGGAAAUCACAGUCAUCAGGUGAUCAGAUGUCCAGAGCUAGAGCUGGAUGACCUUGUCUCUCUCCUUUGUCAUGUAGCCCUGGAGCUGGGGCUGGGUGGGCCAGGGCUUGGGCCCAGUAGAGGCCAGGACACCUCCCUGCCCUGCCCAGGGAGGGAGCCACCUCAGCUGGGGCCUGCAGACACUGAGCACCUGAGAAACUGGGAAGUGUCCUGCAGAGGGCGCCAUUGAUUCACAUAUAAUCCCUGAAAAGCUGAACCAAAGUAGUAUUGUGCUACACCCAAAAUGAAGGAAGGAUUAUGAAAAACAAGAUGUGAUAGAAGGUAUGUCAAUUCCAGGAUUGAAGGAGCUGGUUCUGACAGUAGGGAAAAAUAAUAACGUCUCCAGGACUAGGCACCAAGUCUCCGGCAAUAUGGCAGGGCCCCAGCCAGUCACUGUCCUAGACUUCUGUCAGGCCCAGAAAAGCUCUUGUGUUCUUGCAGUGUGAAUGGAUAACUGCAAAUUUUCAUUUAGUUCUCACAUCCACCUGAUAAUCCAGGUUCACGGUGAGGUAAAAGAGGCUCAGAGGGACUCAGAAACUCCCCCAAGGACUCACAACUACUAGGCAAGAGAAAGGACAUUCAGAUUGCUUAGCUGGGACUCUGGCACCCAUUGAGUCUUCUCUCGUUUUACCACCAGGAGGAGCCCUUGCUGUUUUCUACCGGACGCCUCAGGAAACACAAAGCAUUGUCUCUGAGGGGCAGAGGAUAUUUUAGCCAAUAGAUAUUGUUAACUAGCCCUGAACCUGUCUGGGACACAGCCACACUCCAGAGUCACACUGACUUUUGCUACAAAGAUACGAUCGUAGUACCAGAGCCACAAAAUCAAGAUGCAGUUGAAACAGGCAAAGAUUGAAACAAGUGCCUACUACAUGGAGGUCUUCAAGUAGUUGUCCUCUUGCCUCAGCCUCCCUGGUCUCUGGAAUUACAGCACUUUCUCAUUAGACUCUAAAAUGGAGCCGACUUUUCUAAACUGUGUAUUUUGCUCUGUGGGUGAGGAAUCC